RNAcentral lists this long non-coding RNA (334 nucleotides) under Macaca mulatta (Rhesus monkey). RNAcentral's name for it is "lncRNA (ENSMMUG00000057184.1)". The record is from RNAcentral. Lineage: Eukaryota; Metazoa; Chordata; Mammalia; Primates; Cercopithecidae.
AGGAAAUAGAUAGAGUCUGAUGUUUCUUCAUGUAAGAUCUGUACAGUUUAAACCUUUUAGAAUAGCUAUUUUCCUUAAAAAGUUCCUUUAUUUUUUAGCAAUCAGAAUCACUGAUAUUUGGCUAUGAAGUCACAUCUCAUCCUUAGACCUAACAAGGACUUUUAUCUUCCUGAUCUCCUGAGGAUAAUCUAUGAGUGCAAAAUGACUCUGGAAAUUAGCAUGGAUUUCUAAAGAAUUACUGAGCAACUAAUGGUCUGUACUCAAUGAACAGAGUGGAAAUGCAAUUGGAAAAACUCUAAUAUAAAACUCUAUUAAGGACCCUACCUGGGUGUUC